AGCAGCCGCGGUAAUUCCAGCUCCAAUAGCGUAUAUUAAAGUUGUUGCAGUUAAAAAGCUCGUAGUUGAAUUUCGGGAUCAAUAUAUCGGUCGUGCCUUGGUACGUACUGGUAUCAUUGGUUUCUCCUUUCUGACGAACCAUGAUGUCAUUAAUUUGGUGUUAUGGGAAGUUAGGACUGUUACUUUGAAAAAUUAGAAGUGUUUAAAGCAGGCUUUAGCUUGAAUACAUUAGCAUGGAAUAAUGAAAUAGGUCGUUCGAACCUAUUUUGUUGGUUUCUAGGAUCAACGUAAUGAUUAAUAGGGAUAGUUGGGGGCAUUAGUAUUCAAUUGUCAGAGGUGAAAUUCUUGGAUUUAUUGAAGACUAACUACUGCGAAAGCAUUUGCCAAGGAUGUUUUCAUUAAUCAAGAACGAAAGU
This 416-nucleotide ribosomal RNA is filed under the name uncultured Glomus. RNAcentral describes it as "SSU rRNA". It matches the Rfam family "Eukaryotic small subunit ribosomal RNA", at positions 569 to 990 of the family's 1831-position model. Lineage: Eukaryota; Fungi; Glomeromycota; Glomeromycetes; Glomerales; Glomeraceae. The record is from RNAcentral.